RNAcentral lists this transfer RNA (76 nucleotides) under Candidatus Midichloria sp. Its description in RNAcentral is "tRNA-Trp". It matches the Rfam family "tRNA". From Rfam's summary of the family: Transfer RNA (tRNA) molecules are approximately 80 nucleotides in length. Their secondary structure includes four short double-helical elements and three loops (D, anti-codon, and T loops). Further hydrogen bonds mediate the characteristic L-shaped molecular structure. tRNAs have two regions of fundamental functional importance: the anti-codon, which is responsible for specific mRNA codon recognition, and the 3' end, to which the tRNAs corresponding amino acid is attached (by aminoacyl-tRNA synthetases). tRNAs cope with the degeneracy of the genetic code in two manners: having more than one tRNA (with a specific anti-codon) for a particular amino acid; and 'wobble' base-pairing, i.e. permitting non-standard base-pairing at the 3rd anti-codon position. The record is from RNAcentral. Lineage: Bacteria; Pseudomonadati; Pseudomonadota; Alphaproteobacteria; Rickettsiales; Candidatus Midichloriaceae.
AGGAGUGUAGCUCAAUUGGUAGAGCACCGGUCUCCAAAACCGGGGGUUAGAGGUUCGAUCCCUCUCGCUCCUGCCA